Ictidomys tridecemlineatus (thirteen-lined ground squirrel) is the source of this 1671-nucleotide long non-coding RNA. RefSeq lists it as uncharacterized. The record is from RefSeq and is a predicted model, not a curated record. Lineage: Eukaryota; Metazoa; Chordata; Mammalia; Rodentia; Sciuridae.
CAUGGUCACGCACGAGGUCGCGCAGCGUGUGGCACACGCGCGGCAGGACAAAGAGCACCAGGCGCGCAUCCAGGUAGCGUGGGGACACUUCCGGCGCUGUCUGAUGACGUUGCCGGCCGGAACCGAGAGGCUCGCAGGGAAACCGGCCGAGGCCCUAGACCCUGUCUCUGAAAGCGUCGGCCUUGAACUGGAGAACCCGGACUCACGGUACCGCGUUUUUAAACCAGCAUCUCUGGUGUACCUUGCGGAGCCAGUUUUGUCCUGAAGGUCGUCCCCGCGCCGCAGCUUUUUCGCUUGCCCCAGUACCACAGGCCGGGUGCCGGGAUGAGCCUUCAGAGGAUACCGCUCCGUGGUAGAGCGGCCUGGCAGGCGCGAAGCGCUGGGCUCAUCUCCAGCAGCACACUCACACACCAAAAAACCAAAACCAAAACCGUGGGCUGAGCAUGUAGAGCACUGGCGUAGCGUGUGGGAGACCCUGGGUUCCACCUCCAGCCCCGAGGCGGUCGCUAAGGAAUAGGUAGUCCCAAGAGGCUGCCUAGCAGCACCCUGUGGGCUAUGAAGACUACUUUAUUUUGUAUAUGACUUUUGAAAAUUGUAGAUGGACACAAUACCUUUUUCUUUAUUUUUAUGUGGUGCUUAGGAUGGAACCCCUGCCUCACACGUGAUAAGCAAGCGAUUUAUCACUGAGCCACAACCUCAGCCCUGAAGAAUGACACCUAAGGAGCCAGGAAACAUUUUGGUGCUCUAGGGCCACCCGGUGGGCUGGGCCAGCAAAACACUGUUGGAGAUUUUUGUUUUUGAAAUAGAAUCCUGCUGUAUUGCCCAGGCUGGCCUUUAACUCGGAAUCCUCCCACCUCAGCCUAGUUAGCUGGGAUUGCAAAGGUGCACCCCUGGGACAGCAAUUCUUGUCUACAGACAAGAUUUGUAAUCCCAGCAACUCUGGAGGCUGAGGCAGGAUUGCUAGAUCAAGGACAGCCUCAGGAAUUUAGUGAGACCCUAAGCAAGGCUUUCCCUUUCCACAUUCACCCUUAUAUCUUAUAAGGAAGAAAACAGGUUUGAGGUUUCAAGUUAACGCUUAAGCCAGGGAUGGUGGUGCAUACCUGUAAUCCCACUCAGAAGCUGAGGCAGGAGGAUCAUGAGUUCAAAGGCAGCCUCAGCAACUUGAGGCCCUGAGCAAUUUAAUGAGAACCUGCCCUGAAAUGUGUUUUAAUUUAAAAGACUGUGUGAGAGUCCUGGGGAUGUGAUUCAGUGAUAAGCACCCUCUUCUUACUUUUUGGUUCCCUCAAAUACUUCCUGACUGCAGUUCUGUUCCCAUUUCUAAAGCACCUCAGGCCCUCCUCCACUACCAAAGCCAAGGACACAAGAAACUAGAGACCAAAGGUUUCACAAGAAACUGAUCUUUACUCAACAAAGUUCUACACAAGUGGAAUCUCACGCCACCUUGGCGCCAAUCCCCAGCACAGCACGGUAACAAAUGGACAGACCUGGGAGCCUGCAGGGAAAAGAGGGUGAGGAGGGACCUGGGGCAAGGGGAGAGGGACUGUGGAUCAAGGCCAAUCUGGGUCCACAGCCCUAGAUAGGGAAUAAAGUUGAGAAGCUGAAACUUCAUUGUGCAAAAACCAACCAAAAAUAAAUUAAAAAAUUAAAUAGCUUUCUUAAAAAAAAAAAAAA